This 245-nucleotide ribosomal RNA is filed under the name uncultured Methanomassiliicoccus sp. Its description in RNAcentral is "partial 16S ribosomal RNA". It matches the Rfam family "Archaeal small subunit ribosomal RNA", at positions 474 to 719 of the family's 1478-position model. Lineage: Archaea; Methanobacteriati; Thermoplasmatota; Thermoplasmata; Methanomassiliicoccales; Methanomassiliicoccaceae. The record is from RNAcentral.
UACCCGCGCCCUGAGUGGUGCUCGUUAUUAUUGGGUCUAAAACAUCCGUAGCCGGUUCUGUAAAUGCCCAGGUAAAUCGAUAGGCUUAACUUGUCGAAUUCUGGGUAGACUGCAGAACUUGGGAUCGGGAGAGGUUAGAGGUACUUCGGGGGUAGGGGUAAAAUCCUGUAAUCCUUGAAGGACCACCGGUGGCGAAGGCGUCUAACUAGAACGACUCCGACGGUGAGGGAUGAAGCCCUGGGGCG